RNAcentral lists this ribosomal RNA (497 nucleotides) under uncultured bacterium. RNAcentral describes it as "partial 16S ribosomal RNA". It matches the Rfam family "Bacterial small subunit ribosomal RNA", at positions 28 to 507 of the family's 1533-position model. The record is from RNAcentral.
GAUGAACGCUGGCGGCGUGCCUAAUACAUGCGAGUCGAGCGAACAGACGAGGAGCUUGCUCCUCUGAAGUUAGCGGCGGACGGGUGAGUAACACGUGGAUAACCUACCUAUAAGACUGGGAUAACUUCGGGAAACCGGAGCUAAUACCGGAUAAUAUAUUGAACCGCAUGGUUCAAUAGUGAAAGACGGUUUUGCUGUCACUUAUAGAUGGAUCCGCGCCGCAUUAGCUAGUUGGUAAGGUAACGGCUUACCAAGGCAACGAUGCGUAGCCGACCUGAGAGGGUGAUCGGCCACACUGGAACUGAGACACGGUCCAGACUCCUACGGGAGGCAGCAGUAGGGAAUCUUCCGCAAUGGGCGAAAGCCUGACGGAGCAACGCCGCGUGAGUGAUGAAGGUCUUCGGAUCGUAAAACUCUGUUAUUAGGGAAGAACAAAUGUGUAAGUAACUAUGCACGUCUUGACGGUACCUAAUCAGAAAGCCACGGCUAACUACGUG